UAGAAACAUUAAUGUACCUACCCUAAUUAUUUGACUUUCUAAAUCCUACUAAAUAUUAUAGAACAUUGUUGUUAUUGUAAGUACAUUAGUGUAUGUUAAAUUUUCUUAUUAUUAUAAUAAUCGGUAACUACCUACUUAGUAUGAUAAAAUAAACAAAUUAAAUUGCAAUUUACGCAUCGCCUUGUGUAUAUAAAUAAAGACGAGAUGACAAUUGUAUGUUGCAUUGUAAAUAGUUUUAAUAUAAAAUAGUAUUUAUGAUUACAAUUUUCGAAGUAAAUAAAACACAAUUUCGGACUAAACAUUUGUAUUCAAUUUUUCCUCCCUGAUAGAAAUUCCUUGCACUCGUUAGACAAAUUAAAUGAGUAAUUUGAUAGAAUAAUAGGUAUCA
This 388-nucleotide unclassified non-coding RNA is filed under the name Melitaea cinxia (Glanville fritillary). RNAcentral describes it as "misc RNA ENSMCXG00005010365.1". The record is from RNAcentral. Lineage: Eukaryota; Metazoa; Arthropoda; Insecta; Lepidoptera; Nymphalidae.